This is a long non-coding RNA of Spinacia oleracea (spinach), 306 nucleotides long. RefSeq lists it as uncharacterized. NCBI's taxonomy places the organism in Eukaryota, Viridiplantae, Streptophyta, Magnoliopsida, Caryophyllales, Amaranthaceae. The record is from RefSeq and is a predicted model, not a curated record. The transcript has 2 exons.
GGCGGAGAAUUCUUUGUAGGCGACUUUUGAAUUCUUUAAAGUGGCCUAUCAGUUUGUUUACACAAGUCUCUAAGGAUCAAUAAGCAUUGUCCAUCUGCAGGUUUGAAGAUGUUGCAUCAUUGGGAUCGGGAAUAGAGAGCUUGUAUUUAGUUUUGAUUUGCUAAGUUAACUUGGGUUUGUUAAUUGGGACUUUAAACUUGUCGUACUAUUUAUAUUUCCUUAUUUUCGUUGGAUGAUUCUUGGGGACUAAAUCUGUAAUAGAUUAUUUAUAAACCUAAAGUUAGUUUUAUGUUUUCCGCUGCAAAA